UGCAGUCGAGCGGAUGAGGGAGCUUGCUCCUGGAUUCAGCGGCGGACGGGUGAGUAAUGCCUAGGAAUCUGCCUGGUAGUGGGGGAUAACGUCCGGAAACGGGCGCUAAUACCGCAUACGUCCUGAGGGAGAAAGUGGGGGAUCUUCGGACCUCACGCUAUCAGAUGAGCCUAGGUCGGAUUAGCUAGUUGGUGGGGUAAAGGCCUACCAAGGCGACGAUCCGUAACUGGUCUGAGAGGAUGAUCAGUCACACUGGAACUGAGACACGGUCCAGACUCCUACGGGAGGCAGCAGUGGGGAAUAUUGGACAAUGGGCGAAAGCCUGAUCCAGCCAUGCCGCGUGUGUGAAGAAGGUCUUCGGAUUGUAAAGCACUUUAAGUUGGGAGGAAGGGCAGUAAGUUAAUACCUUGCUGUUUUGACGUUACCAACAGAAUAAGCACCGGCUAACUUCGUGCCAGCAGCCGCGGUAAUACGAAGGGUGCAAGCGUUAAUCGGAAUUACUGGGCGUAAAGCGCGCGUAGGUGGUUCAGCAAGUUGGAUGUGAAAUCCCCGGGCUCAACCUGGGAACUGCAUCCAAACUACUGAGCUAGAGUACGGUAGAGGGUGGUGGAAUUUCGAAAGCGUGGGGAGCAAACAGGAUUAGAUACCCUGGUAGUCCACGCCGUAAACGAUGUCGACUAGCCGUUGGGAUCCUUGAGAUCUUAGUGGCGCAGCUAACGCGAUAAGUCGACCGCCUGGGGAGUACGGCCGCAAGGUUAAAACUCAAAUGAAUUGACGGGGGCCCGCACAAGCGGUGGAGCAUGUGGUUUAAUUCGAAGC
This 819-nucleotide ribosomal RNA is filed under the name Pseudomonas aeruginosa. RNAcentral's name for it is "bacterial SSU rRNA". It matches the Rfam family "Bacterial small subunit ribosomal RNA", at positions 56 to 957 of the family's 1533-position model. Lineage: Bacteria; Pseudomonadati; Pseudomonadota; Gammaproteobacteria; Pseudomonadales; Pseudomonadaceae. The record is from RNAcentral.